Molecule: ribosomal RNA, 234 nt
Filed under: uncultured bacterium
Lineage: Bacteria
Description: partial 16S ribosomal RNA
Rfam family: Bacterial small subunit ribosomal RNA
Source: RNAcentral
GAUCAUGGCUCAGAUUGAACGCUGGCGGCAGGCUUAACACAUGCAAGUCGAACGGUAACAGGAGAGAGCUUGCUUUCUUGCUGACGAGUGGCGGACGGGUGAGUAAUGCUUGGGAAUCUGGCUUAUGGAGGGGGAUAACGACUGGAAACUGUCGCUAAUACCGCGUAGAGUCGAGAGACGAAAGUGCGGGACCGUAAGGCCGCAUGCCAUAGGAUGAGCCCAAGUGGGAUUAGG